UAAUGGAAAGUGAUCCUUUCGAGUAGCUGAGUUAAGCUUAUGAUAGUCAAUGCACACUCUCCAUCCAGUCACCGUCCGUGUAGGAAUCAACUCAUUUCUCUCAUUUUCUAUCACUGUGAUUCCUCCUUUCUUGGGAACAACUUGCACUGCACUGAUCCAUGCACUAUCUGAUAUUGGAUAAAUAAUGCCCGCAUCGAGCAACUUCAAUACCUCAGCUCUAACCACUUCCUUCAUGUGUGGAUUCAAUCUCCGCUGCCCAUCAAUGCUUGG
This 270-nucleotide long non-coding RNA is filed under the name Olea europaea (common olive). Its description in RNAcentral is "long non-coding RNA (OEUR_LNC008979)". Lineage: Eukaryota; Viridiplantae; Streptophyta; Magnoliopsida; Lamiales; Oleaceae. The record is from RNAcentral.